This 303-nucleotide ribosomal RNA is filed under the name Oligometra carpenteri. RNAcentral's name for it is "partial 16S ribosomal RNA". It matches the Rfam family "Bacterial large subunit ribosomal RNA", at positions 2257 to 2643 of the family's 2925-position model. Lineage: Eukaryota; Metazoa; Echinodermata; Crinoidea; Comatulida; Colobometridae. The record is from RNAcentral.
AAUAAAAAUAUCUUUGGUUGGGGCAACCACGAAGAAAAAAAAACCUUCGUCUAAAAAAGAAAUUUACAAAUUAAAAAUUUUUAUAAAAAAGGAUCCAGAAAAUACUGAUCAAAGAAAAAAGUUACCGCAGGGAUAACAGCGUUAUUCUCUUUAAGAGCUCGUAUUGACAAGAGAGUUUGCGACCUCGAUGUUGGACCGGGGCACCCAAGAGGUGUAGCAGCCUCUAAAGGUAGGUCUGUUCGACCUUUAAAGCCCUACGCGAUCUGAGUUCAGACCGACGCAAGUCAGGUCAGUUUCAAUCUA